Non-coding RNA from Myodes glareolus (Bank vole), 1098 nucleotides. The record is from RefSeq and is a predicted model, not a curated record. NCBI's taxonomy places the organism in Eukaryota, Metazoa, Chordata, Mammalia, Rodentia, Cricetidae.
AACCAGGAAAACCAGUAGCAUGACUGAGCGCAGGUUUGUAGACUUGAGAAUGCGAAGAAUUGAUGGUUUGACCUACAGUGGUCCAGAAAUACUAUUCGAUCUACAGGCUGGAGAAACCUGGAGAGAUGAAAUGGACAAGCAAUGGAGAAGUUCAUCUCCAUUUCCAAAGACCAGGCUUUGAAAUCUGAGAUCAAAGUACUGCCGGGUUGACUAGUGAGGUUGGCACUCCAAGGUGGCAUCUUGAGCACCCUCCACGGGGGAGGAAUACUGUGUCCACAAGCCACAGAAAGGCAAGAGAAUGGGAUGCUGCCUGAAUCCCCCUUGAUCAGCAAAGCUUGGUGGAGAAGAAGAAUGGCUUUCAUUUCAUCUCAUCUGCACGAGCUCUCCUGUAACUCACCAGUUCUGCAAUGGAGCGAAGCAGACAGUUCUUCAUUAUGCACCUUUAUCAUGCAACUCUUAAAGCAGAACUCAGAAAAUACAAGAAUAGGUGCUUUCAUUGCUUGGCCUUAUAAUGAACUAGCACUGAAUCAGCCACUCUAGCAGGGUAGCUCUGGGUACGGCUAUUGUAAAACCAUAUUGUGAAAGAGAUGCUUUUAACUGUCACAUAUCAGAAGUCAUAGAAAACACCUCUGGAGAAGAGCUGGGUGGGCAAUGGCUUGUGCUCAGAUAAAGAGGGAUUUCGGAAGUGGCGCCUGCCACACACCAGCUUGAAAGGGUGCUUGCACAAACCUGUUUCCAGUCAUAUGUCUCCAAUGCCAUGCUUCUUAAUCCACCCAAGUUUCUACAUCUCAAAUCAACCAACUCAAGUGUUUCUGUUCGUUUAUGUUGCUGCAACAAAAUGCUUAACACUGGAUAACUUAGAGGAGCAGAACUUUAUCCUUAGUUCUAGAGGUUGUGCAGUCCAAAAUCAAGGUACUGUCCAUUGAGGAUGAUGCUCCCCUUCCAAAAUGGCAUGAAGGAAAAUGAUGGCGUGGCUCCUAGUGUGGGAUAUUCAUUUUCACUGUCGGUACCCGACCUCUCCCAUGCUGUUGGUGCUCAGUGGAGUGCUGAUGAGAUAUUGUCUUCACUGUGAGUGUAACUGUCCUCUAAAUAAAGGAA